RNAcentral lists this ribosomal RNA (270 nucleotides) under uncultured bacterium. RNAcentral describes it as "partial 16S ribosomal RNA". It matches the Rfam family "Bacterial small subunit ribosomal RNA", at positions 85 to 354 of the family's 1533-position model. The record is from RNAcentral.
CCGCCGGCGACCGGCGCACGGGUGAGUAACACGUAUGCAACCUGCCCCUGUCAGGGGGACAACCCGCCGAAAGGCGGGCUAAACCCGCGUACAUGCCACCGGGGCAUCCCGGAGGCAGGAAAGGCUUCGGCCGGACAGGGAUGGGCAUGCGGCGCAUUAGGCAGUAGGCGGGGUAACGGCCCACCUAACCGACGAUGCGUAGGGGCUCUGAGAGGAAGGUCCCCCACACUGGUACUGAGACAUGGACCAGACUCCUACGGGAGGCAGCAG